Molecule: ribosomal RNA, 301 nt
Filed under: uncultured bacterium
Lineage: Bacteria
Description: partial 16S ribosomal RNA
Rfam family: Bacterial small subunit ribosomal RNA
Source: RNAcentral
CAGUAGCCGCGGGAAUACGUAGGGUGCAAGCGUUAAUCGGAAUUACUGGGCGUAAAGCGUGCGCAGGCGGUUCUAUAAGACAGAUGUGAAAUCCCCGGGCUCAACCUGGGAACUGCAUUUGUGACUGUAGAGCUGGAGUGCGGCAGAGGGGGAUGGAAUUCCGCGUGUAGCAGUGAAAUGCGUAGAUAUGCGGAGGAACACCGAUGGCGAAGGCAAUCCCCUGGGCCUGCACUGACGCUCAUGCACGAAAGCGUGGGGAGCAAACAGGAUUAGAUACCCGAGUAGUCCCUGUCUCUUAUAC